ACUGCUCAGUAACACGUGGCUAACCUGCCCUUGGGACAGGGAUAACCCCGGGAAACUGGGGCUAAUACUUGAUAGGUGAGAACUCCUGGAAUGGAUUCUCGCUGAAAGGGCGUCUAGGUCAUGCUUUUAGGCGUCGCCCAAGGAGGGGGCCGCGGCCGAUCAGGUUGUUGGUGAGGUGACGGCUCACCAAGCCUUUAACCGGUACGGGCCGUGAGAGCGGUAGCCCGGAGAUGGGUACUGAGACAAGGGCCCAGGCCCUACGGGGCGCAGCAGUCGCGAAAACUCACCAAUUCACGAAAGUGUGAGUGGGCCAUCCCGAGUGCCGUCCGCUGAGGAUGGCUUUUCCUUAGUGUACAAAGCUGGGGGAAUAAGGAGAGGGCAAGUCUGGUGUCAGCCGCCGCGGUAAUACCAGCUCUCCGAGUGGUGGGGAUGUUUAUUGGGCCUAAAGCAUUCGUAGCCUGCUGGACAAGUCCUCCGUUAAAUCCAACGAUUCAAUCGUUGGGCCGCGGGGGAUACUGUUCGGCUAGGGGGCGGAAGAGGUCGACGGUAUUCUCGGGGUAGGGGUGAAAUCCUAUAAUCCCGUGAGGACCACCAGUGGCGAAGGCUGUCGGCUAGAACGCGCCCGACGGUGAGGGAUGAAAGCUGGGGGAGCGAACCGGAUUAGAUACCCGGGUAGUCCCAGCCGUAAACGAUGCAGGCUAGGUGUUGGCGCGGCUACGUGCCGCUCCAGUGCCGCAGGGAAGCCGUUAAGCCUGCCGCCUGGGAAGUACGGCCGCAAGGCUGAAACUUAAAGGAAUUGGCGGGGGAGCACCACAAGGGGUGAAGCUUGCGGUUUAAUUGGAGUCAACGCCGGA
RNAcentral lists this ribosomal RNA (854 nucleotides) under uncultured archaeon. RNAcentral's name for it is "bacterial SSU rRNA". It matches the Rfam family "Archaeal small subunit ribosomal RNA", at positions 85 to 922 of the family's 1478-position model. The record is from RNAcentral.